GGCUCGGUGGCAUAGUGGUAACGCAUUCCGAAUUCCUACACAGGUGGUUUGUUCUCGGAAGGUAUGGAGUUCAAUUCUCCGUCGAGCCA
Non-coding RNA from Mycena latifolia, 89 nucleotides. Lineage: Eukaryota; Fungi; Basidiomycota; Agaricomycetes; Agaricales; Mycenaceae. The record is from the annotation of a GenBank genome assembly.